This 748-nucleotide long non-coding RNA is filed under the name Ananas comosus (pineapple). RNAcentral's name for it is "long non-coding RNA (ACOM_LNC030035)". The record is from RNAcentral. Lineage: Eukaryota; Viridiplantae; Streptophyta; Magnoliopsida; Poales; Bromeliaceae.
CGUAUAAGUAUAAUAAUAAUAAGGGAAAACUUCAAAAACCCCCCUGUGGUUUCACAAACUGUGGUUUAAAACGUAUCAAUUUGCCCCAUGUGGUUUCAUUUUUAUCUUUUCGGAAGCUUUUUCGUUAGCAUUUCGUUAAAUUAUAUACAAAAAACUUCAGAUAACCAUCUAUAUUUAUCGAAUAUUCACUUUAGUAUCCUUUAAUUUUAACUUUGUCACUGAUUUAAAAAAAAAAAAUAAUAAAAUUGAUAACAAAAAGAGAAAAACAAAACCACAGGGGGGCAAAUUGAUACGUUUUAAACCACAGGGUACUAAAGUCAGAAAGCACGAAACCACGGGGGGUUUUGAAGUUUUCCCUAAUAAUAAUAAUAAUAAUAAAUUAUACAAAAUUUAUCUGAAAUAUAAAUAAUAUAAUUAGGCUAUUUUUAAUUUUACUAUCAAUUUUUUUAUUUAUUUGAUUUACGGCCAACGAUACUUUAACUAUAAAAUUUAAACUAAUUAUUAUUUUAAUAAAUUUAUAAUUAUAAAAAUUAUAUAAAAUAUAUAAAUUAAAUCUGUAAAGAUAAAUAAUGCAUUCAAAUUUUAAAAUUAAAAUACUGUUGAGGGACUCGACUCAAACAAAUUGAAAUAUUUAAUAGUAAAAUUAAAAUUUUUUAAAGUUAUAUAAUUAAAUCAAAAUGGUCGAUAAUUUAGAUAAAUUUUAUAUGUUUUUACCUAAUAAUAAUAAUAAUGAUACUGAGAUAAUGUU